This 3601-nucleotide long non-coding RNA is filed under the name Homo sapiens (human). RNAcentral's name for it is "long intergenic non-protein coding RNA 2431". The record is from RNAcentral. Lineage: Eukaryota; Metazoa; Chordata; Mammalia; Primates; Hominidae.
UCUUCUGUGCUUAGCUUCACUGGAGUGUCAACACUUAAUACUAGUUAUGUAGAAUUACAACUUUAUAUUUAUUACAGUAAAUACACAGGCAUGUAAGGAAAAAUUCUAGAACAGUUUUUCUUAGUAUGGUAAAAAUUUUAAUCACCAUUUCACUUUUGAAGAUCAUUCUCUCUUGCACAGAGCACUAAAUUCAGUACGAGAUCUGCUAUGAUGUUUCUCUCUUAUAUGUAACCAAGAAAUUUCCCAUGCUGUCACUAAGAAUCAGGACCUAAAAUUAUAUUGGAAAUAUCAUCAAAGGAUAAAUCAUACUGGAUCUUCUUUUGGUUACAUUUAUAGGUAUGUUAUUCAUAUAAAUUCUAUAAAAAUUAUAUACAUUUAUAAAAAUAUAAUAUCCUAUCAGUCAUAAUUUUGACUAUAUUAAACCUUUUCUAAAGUUAUAUUUAUAUAGAUAUUAAUAUAAAUAUUUUAAAGAUUAUGUCAAAUGUAUGGAAGUCUGGUGGUUCUAAUGUGAUGAUUCUGGUUUUUAUCUUACUGUGCUACAUAUAAUAGAAAUAGCUAAAUUUUAUUGCCAAUUGAAAAUUUUCAACCAAUUUUAACCAUGGUUAUUACAAGUUUCUGUCACCCACAAUUCCUGGAGGGUAGGAGCUGCCACUCAGUGACCAUGUCAAGGGCACGUUGGCUCUCAGCCCCAGCCACUCUCCCAUGGCCAGCACACAAGGCCACCACAGCCUGGUCCUGACGUGAUACCCAAGACCGGUGGGUACGAGGGGCAUCUGGUGAGUUAUUGUUUAAACUUCUUCUCUAAAAGCAUUUACAAUAAACUGUGAUCUAAAUUACUUUUCAUGGAAAGGACUCUGACAAGUACUCUUAAACACAAGAUUACUUUGGACAUCAUACCAUCAGAGUAGAAAAAACUUUCAAGACUCUAAGUAAAAAGCUAAAAUAAGAACUGCUAAUCUAACAUCAAGCAGAACAAGAGUUAAUUACACAGGAUUGAACUGAUAGAAUACGAAGAUUUUAUUCAUGACAUUUUCAUUUGAAAUGGCUGAUUCUCUUUAUAUUUUGUUUUCCAGAGUCAAGAUAACCUUUUUUCUUUAUUUUUAAUUGACAACACAUUAGAUAGAAUAUAUUUUUGUGGACAAAAAUUUGAGGUAUUUAUAUUUCUCUCUACCUGAUUUCUCCAGAAUUUGGAAGCCAUUUGUGAGUAUUCUUAAUUAAUGGCAAUACAAUUAUUUGCAUAAGUUCAAUAAGAAUCUGUUUCCUUUUGUAACAGGAUACAACUGGAGACACUGGUUAUUUUACCAAGGCUUUGAUUAGAAUGGCAUAUUUUCAGAUAUGAUCAGGCUGCUUUGAGAAAUUGGUGCUGACUUCAUAGAGCCAAUGAAAAACUUAGAAAGACUGGACUGGUACCUUGUCUACAAUGUUUCCUUACAGGGUUUCUGUCCUUCUGAUAAUUAAAGAAUAUCACUUUCUGACAGGCCUGGGAACCUCAAGAUAUUUUGGAACCUUGAGAAGAGAGAAAUACACUCAUUCAUACAGAUUUUACAGCCACAAUCUGAUGGAUUAACCAUGGCUUUACUAGACUCAAGGCUUUUAAAAAUCUAAAAUUUCUUAUAAAUAGGUUCCAACAAAGCUAAUUUUAAAAAAGAAGCUUAUAAGGCCAAUUAUUGCUGCACUUUAUGCAAAUAAUCAUGCCAGGUAGAUAUAAGACUAAAACUUAUUUUGCAAACAAGUCAGUCCUAUGAUUUGUCUCUGAUAAAAAUGAGAAGCUUGAGAAAGAUAAAUUAUAUUUCAACAGCAAACUAUAACACACCUGUUAUUGGAUUCCAACACUGACCAUUGUUUUUAAGUUUUUAUCAUUUGUUAUAAUCAAGACUGAAUCCUGAAUUUUUCCUGGCUUCAAUAAGUGUCCCUAAUGAACCUGCAUAUAAUAUAUUUUAAAAACUUCUUGUUAUGAUUUCCAUCAGGAAUAGGAUCUAUUUUUGAAGUACUACUUAAACUAGGAAUUAUAAUUCAAUAUAUGUUGGAGUUUCUCUUCCAUCUUGUUAAGUUCGGUACCUACUAUUUGUUUCUUAUUUUUAAAAUCAAACUGAUUAUAUCCUACCCAAUACCAAUGACAUGUUCUUUAACCUGUCUUUGUUAUGAGUAAACCGAAGACUUUUCCAUGUUUAUCAGGGACACUAUGUGAACCUCCUGAAUAUGCAUUUAUUUGUCAACAUAUUGACCACCCCUGGUUUUAUGCAUGUGUUGACAGCUGAUGCAAGAGAGUUAAUUGUUUAUUAGGUUAUCUGACUAUUCUUCUUUCUAUUUAUAGCUUCACUGCUUCUCAAUAUUGGACCAGUUUCUUAAAACUAUUUUCCAGGAAUAGACAAACCCUACCUGCAAACCAAGAAGACAGAUUUUGGCCUAUGUUUAGCAAUAUUCUCUUGCCAUGAUGGAGAGUAUCCUCUCAUGAACAACGAUUAUAAAUCUGUCAAUCACCCUAUGUAACUUCUCAAAUGAAGCAGCUAAAGCCAUAGCUGCCCAAUAAAAAUCUUUAAACUCUUUAGCCACAGUAGUAAUGGAUAACAGAAUACCCCUAGACUAAGUAUUGGUGGAACAGGAAAGAGUUUCUAUGGUAGCUAACAUAUCAUGUUGUGUUUACAUCAAUACAUCUUCUGAAGUUGAAACACACAUGAAAUAAGAAGACAACAAGCUAAUUAAUCACAACAAAUUCCCAGGGAAGAACCAGGUGCCAACUAGUUCUCAGAUAUAUUUUUCUGAAUCCCACAUAGAAUUCAAUGUAUGCCCCCAAGCCAUAUGAAAAUUAAGACUUUACCUAUUACUAAUGCUCAUUUUUGGACAUUUGGUUAUCAAAUGCUGCCUCUGAUGUUAAACCUUUAAACUGUUAAAAGAGAAACCAAUGUAUUAAUAAUGCUAAAUGUUAAUAUUGUACCAGAUAUUAGAGAAUAUCUUCAACUUAAUGCAAAAUGAUUUCAUCCUUUAGGCCCAAACCUGCACCCCUAGUCAGUAGGAAAAAGCUAGAAUGGAUGUUGCCCCUAAUCCCUCAUGACUGAAGAAUGCACAUAGAACAGGGGGGAUUUAAACCAUGACCCAAAGAUUUAGUUAAAGAAACCAAUGGCUAAAAGAAGUUAUUGAGUUUGCAGGUUGGCAGAUUAAAAAAAGAAGAAGAGGAAACAACAACAACAACAACAAAACAACAACAACAACAACAAAAACUUGCUGAAACACUGAAACUCCCUUUGCUUAUUAACUAAAGAACACUGACUGAAAUUGGUUGGACUCAAUAUGGCCAACUAGAGUCUGCACAGAAAGAGCUUGCUGACAUUGCAACCUGAAUUUUCAGUGCAUGUUUCAUAACAGCUCCCUCCAACUUUGUACAUGUGAUCCAUGCGAUAGAAUGAAGUUAACUGUAUGCCCAGGGACUUUCUAGACCUUCUCUUUCCUUCCACCAAUUAUUUGAUCAUCUCAGAAUCCACCUCCUGAAACUUUUUGUAUACAAAUACUGCUUUGAAGCCAGCAUGGGGAGAAAAACUUGAGUUUGACAUGCCUGUCUUCUUGUGAGUCAACUUGCAAAAUAAAGCUUCCCUUUCCUCAAAAA